This 246-nucleotide long non-coding RNA is filed under the name Salvia miltiorrhiza (redroot sage). RNAcentral's name for it is "long non-coding RNA (SMIL_LNC002981)". Lineage: Eukaryota; Viridiplantae; Streptophyta; Magnoliopsida; Lamiales; Lamiaceae. The record is from RNAcentral.
GGCGCAGCUAGGGUUAGGCCUCUACCAUUCGGCAGUAUAAAAGGCUAAUGUUGUGCAACGUGAAGAAGUUCUUGGCACCCCGAACAUUUUACUUUUCAUCAGUUAUUGCUUUUAUUCGCCGCGUGUGGCAUCAAAAACACUUUACAUUUCCGUACUUUAAUUCCGUCGUGUUGUUACUUUUGAACAAGUUCGAAGGCUUGAAGCCUAGGUAUUACUUUAUCUAUUUCAGUAUUUAAUUUCGUUCAA